CCUACGGGAGGCAGCAGUGAGGAAUAUUGGUCAAUGGUCGGGAGACUGAACCAGCCAAGCCGCGUGAGGGAUGAAGGUACAGAGUAUCGUAAACCUCUUUUGUCAGGGAACAAAGGCGGGGACGUGUCCCCGGAUGAGUGUACCUGAAGAAAAAGACUCGGCAAACUCCGUGCCAGCAGCCGCGGUAAUACGGAGGAUGCGAGCGUUAUCCGGAUUUAUUGGGUUUAAAGGGUGCGCAGGCGGUCUGUUAAGUCAGCGGUAAAAGCCCGGGGCUCAACCCCGGCCCGCCGUUGAAACUGGCAGUCUCGAGUUGGAGAGAAGUAUGCGGAAUGCGCGGUGUAGCGGUGAAAUGCAUAGAUAUCGCGCAGAACUCCGAUUGCGAAGGCAGCAUGCCGGCUCCACACUGACGCUGAGGCACGAAAGCGUGGGUAUCGAACAGGAUUAGAUACCCCAGUAGUC
Molecule: ribosomal RNA, 459 nt
Filed under: uncultured bacterium
Lineage: Bacteria
Description: partial 16S ribosomal RNA
Rfam family: Bacterial small subunit ribosomal RNA
Source: RNAcentral